This 5822-nucleotide long non-coding RNA is filed under the name Gossypium raimondii (Peruvian cotton). RNAcentral describes it as "long non-coding RNA (GRAI_LNC008321)". The record is from RNAcentral. Lineage: Eukaryota; Viridiplantae; Streptophyta; Magnoliopsida; Malvales; Malvaceae.
GGACAUCACUUUGUCAUUUCCGUUCAGAGCCACCCACCAGCUUUAAUGAUAGCAGGUUCCAAUGCUUCUUUUACUCUACUAUCCUUUAUUGCAUAAGAACCUUUCAUUUCUUCAAUCAAGAGGUUUCAAUCCGCGCCUCUCCAUCACUCGACUGACUGUCUCUGGGACUCCCUUCUCCAGGUAAAAACUUUCGCUUCUCUUAAGAGCCUCCGUUGCAAUAGUGUGAGCAUAGAUGUUUUUUUGCUUUUGGAAUAAAAGAAAACUUAAUCUCCUGGUAACAAUUUUUCCGGUUCCGAAUAUCUCUGAUUAUUGCUCCAAUGACCGAUCUAUCUGUAAUGGAACUUUUACACUUUUUGAUAACUGUUUUUGCAUCACCCAUUAUCUCCAUUUUGUUGAUUCCCAAAUUAAUACCUAGAGUGAUUGCUUGUAAUCCUGCAUGAGCCUCCGCUGUGAAUGAAUCUUCGAUGUUGGAGUGGAGAACUGCUAAAGACGCAAGGAUUUCCCCUUCCCCACUCCAAACUAUUAACCCCGAUGCCGAUCUAAACGUCUGACUAUCAAACGCUGCAUCAAAAUGAACUGUUGCCCAUCCCCUUUUGAAAACCUGUUGAUAACAGUCAGAAGUAUGGAAGGUAGGUUUAUCUUUUUUUGCUACUUCGAGUUCUGUUAAAUAGUUUCUAAUUUUCCUUGCUAUUUCUGAUCCUGGCAUUUGCUUUUUUUCAUAAAUGAGUUGAUUUCUACUGAACCAGAUAUACCAUAGUCCACAGCAGAAUAGUCGCAACUGCUCCUCGUUUCCUUGACCAAAGAUUCCGGUGAGCCAUCUCCAUAAAUCCUCAUUAUUGUAGUUCAGUAUCCACGAAAGAUUAAGAUGAUACCAGACCUCAAUCACUGCAGGGCACUGUUGGAAAAUAUGGCGACUGCUUUCUUCUUCACACUCACAUCUGGGACAUUUAGUAUUCACCAAAACCCGCUUUAUUUUGAGAUUGAGAAAAGAGGGGAUAUAGUUCCAUGAAAUCCUCCAUAUAGUCAUUUUGAUUUUCGAUGGAAUUUGUAAUGUCCAUAGUUUCCUGUAAAAGCUUAUAGUUUCGGUAUGUAAAAAUAACUCAUUAGGAUCCAAAGUCAACUCAUGUAAUAGUUUAUAGGCGCUCCUAACUGAAAAUUCUCCGGUCGACUCCCCUUUCCAAACUUGAAGAUCUUCAUGUUCUGUCUCCGCCAAUGGGAUCCUCAAUAUUUUCUCCGCUACAACUAGUUUGAAGGUAUCCUUUAUUAGCUCUGUUUUCCACUUUCUGUUACUUAGUUCAAUCAACUCUGAGACAAAUUCAAAAUUACUAUUCACUUCUUGAUUCGGUAUUCUAACCAUUUCUUUUCCUGGUAACCACAGAUCAUCACAGAUGGAAAUCCUAUCACCUCGACCCACUCUCCAGCAUAGACCUUUUUCAAGCAGACCUUUCGCAGACUAAACACUUUUCCAGGUAAGUGAAGGUAAAUUUCCUAGCCGAGCUUUCAAGAAAUCUGAAUUGGGAUAAUACUUUGAUUUCAAAACACGAGCUAAUAAUGAAUCUGGGUAAUUAACAAGACGCUAACCCUGUUUCGCUAAUAAAGCAAUAUUAAACUUCGUAAAAUUUCGGAAACCAAGACCACUAUUUUCUUUCAAUAAGCAAAGAUUCUCCCAGGUACACCAAUGGAUACUCUUUUUAUUCCAUUUCUUACGCCACCAGAAAUUAGCAACAAUUCUUUCUAGAUCCGUACAUAGGGUCUUAGGGAGUAGAAAACACGACAUUGAAUACGUUGGGAUAGCUUGUAAGAUCGCUUUAAUAAAAACUUCCUUACCUCAUUGGGAUAGAAACUUUGUACUCCAAUUAUCAAUCCUUUGUUUGAGUCUGUCUUUCAAACUUUGAAAAGAUAUUUUCUUCCUUUUUCCCACCAUACUAGGAAGCCCUAGGUAUCUCUCUAUAUCAUUCGCUCUUCUAACUCCUAGGAUCAUUGAGACAUUACCCCUUAUAUGCUCUUCUGUGUUUGUACUGAAGAAAACAGCCGAUUUUUCAUAAUUCACACAUUGCCCUGAGCUCAACUCAUAUUCCUUUAGAAUCUGUUUUAAAGCAUGUGCCCCCCUUUCUGAAGCUUCUGCAAAUAAAAUACAAUCAUCGGCAAAGAGUAAAUGUGAGAUAGCUGGUCCUCUUUGACUUGCUUUAACUCCUCUAAGGAUACUUUCUUCUUUUGCAAGUCGUAUUAAACUCGAUAGACCUUCUGCACAGAACAGAAAUAGGAACGGACUGAGAGGGUCACCUUGUCUGAUUCCUCUAGAUGGAAUUAUCGUUUGCCCUCUGUUGCCAUUGAUAAUCACCUCAUAUGAGACCGUCGAGACACAUUUCAAAAUUGAAUCAACCCAUCCUAGAUCAAAACCCAACUUUUUCAUUACCCCUUCCACAAAGCCUCAUUCGACUCUAUCGUAUGCUCUACUCAUAUCAAGUUUGACAGCCAUAAAUCCUUUUUUCCCCACCCUCUUGAGUUUUAGAGUAUGUAAGAUUUCAUACGCAAGUAAGACAUUAUCCGAAAUCAGCCUUCCUGGGACAAAAGCGCUUUGAGCUAAAUCAAUACAUUUAUGCAUUACUCCUCUGAGUCGUCUAGCAAUAACUUUCGCUAUCAGCUUGUAAAUCACAUUGCAUAAACUAAUUGGUCGAAACUGAGUAAUCUUUGAGGGAUUCAGGACUUUUGGAAUAAGCACAAUGUUUGUUUUAUUGAUUGAAUGUAAAUCCAUACCUUCGUUUAACCUCUGAGGACAAAAAUUGGUUACAUCCUCUCCAACAAUUGGCCAACACUUUUGAUAAAAUAGGGUUGGAAAAUCGUCCUCUCCUGGAGCUUUUGUAGGUCCCAUUCCUGAAAGCGCUUCCAGUAUCUCUUCCUUUGUGUAUCUUGCCUUUAAAGUCUUAUUGUCUUCCUCUGUGAUACUGCCUUCAAUACCUGUUAGGAUUCUAUCGCAAUGAUUUUAUCCUCCUGUAUUAAACAAUUUUUGAAAAUACAAUCUAGCGAUUUCCUCCUUUUCCUUCCACUCAUCUGUUUCUCUUCCGUCUUCUAACUGUAAUUUAUUUAUCUGAUUAAGUUUUCUUCUUUGUGAUGCUUGCUUGUGGAAGAAAGCUGUAUUUCUGUCCCCUAGCUUUAGCCAAUUAAUUCGGGCCCUCUGUUCCCAGUAACUCUCGUCUUUUUCAAUCUCAAAGUUCAGAUGGAUUUUUGUAUCAAUAAUCUCUGCCAGAUUCUCAUCACUUCUGUCUUCUUCAAGUAAUGCUAUCAGUUUUGAAGUCAAACCCUCUAUUUUCAUUUUCCUAUUCUGUUGGAUUUUAACUCCCCACUUCUCCAACCCUUUUUUGAGGAUCUCCAGCUUGUUUAUAAGAUCUCCUGUAAAAUUUUCCCAAAUUCUUUUAGUUUCACUAAAGAAUGUUUCUUCUAGUACCCACCACGCUUCAAACUUGAAGUUCCUUUUUGCCCUCUCUCCAUUCUUGUAAGCCGUAUCUAAAAGAAUUGGACAAUGGUCCGAGAAUGAAUGUGGAAGAUGUCGUACCAGAUUGUUUGGGAAUAAGUCGCUCCAUUGCUCCGUUGCAACACCUCUGUCAAGUCUCUCCUGAAUAUUUGUUUCAAUUAAGUUCCCUCUCUCCCAUAUGAACCAUCUGCUAGAAUAUCCCAAAUCAACUAGAUUACAAUAUUCUAAAACUUGUCUAAAUGCCUCCAUUCUUCUUUCCUCCCUAGGUAAUCCACCUUUCUUUUCGAAACCAUAUAAGAUUUCAUUAAAAUCCCAACAAACCAGCCAAGGGUAUUCUCCCUGAUUUCGUAAUUGCCUCAACAGAUUCCAUGCUGCAUCCUUGUCUUGUGAAUAAGGGGAUCCAUAAAAACCUGUAAGUCUCCAUAUUUUCCCUUCCUCUCCUUCCUCAAUAAACACAUCAAUAUGUCGGUUUGAAAAGCUUUGUAGUUUAAUGUUAACAUUUUCUUGCCAUGCCAAACUUAGCCCACCUUUUGAUCCAAUCGAGUCAACAUCAAUGCCAAACUGAAACCCACACCUUCUUCGAACUUUUUCCAUUUUAUUUUUGUUUAAUUUUGUCUCCAUUAAGAAGACCACUUGGGGAUGAUGUUGCUUCAGCGAAUGCCGAAGUCGUCGAACUGUCCGAGGAUUCCCCAACCCUCGGACAUUCCAGUUUAAGAUUUUCAUUGCGACCGGUCGGCUUGCCUCUUAGCAGCCGCCGAUAACAAAUGGUUAGAUUCAGCCCUUCUCCUAUUCCUCCCUCCCGCCUCUAUACUUUCUUCUAUUUCCCCUCUAGUCCUCUUUUUCCCCUCCUCUCCUACAAUCAGCUCAUUCUCCAAAUCAUGCUCCAUCUCCAUGUUAUUAUUACCAAUUAGCUUCCUUGAACUUCCUAUCUCUGCGUAAAGCCCGUUACCUUCCAGAUUAUAACCUAGAAUUGGAUCUGGACUAUUCUCAAAUUUUCCUACUUUCCUCCAAUCUCUAUCACUCCUGAAUUCAUCUCUAUUAUUUUUGCCUACUGAUCCUCCCUCCUCCCUUAACCAGGCACUGCGCAUUGCUUGGGCUCUCCUUGACUAUGCCCGCAAAGAUAGAUCCCAUCCCAUUUCUUCUAUUUCAACCCCAACUUCUAUUUUUGCUUUGCAAAAGGAAUCGUUAUGCCCUAACCGGCCACAGAAGAAGCAAAAAAGAGUUAAUCUCUCAUACUUAAAUCUGACAUAAGAACACAUAUUCUUAAACUUAAUCUAUUUUUUCCUUUUGAGAGGGCGACGGAUAUCAAUGUGUACUCUAAUCCACAUAUAAUUCAUAUUUUCUUUCCCCAAACUAGAACUACCAUACUCCUGGAAAGUUCCAAUAAAAUUUCCUAAUUGCAUGGCUAAACUUUCAGAGUAAAAACCAAUGGGAACCUCAUGAACUUGUACCCAAAAAGGUGAUGAAAUUAAUGGAAUUCUGAGUGGGUCCUCUCCCCAUUGCAACUUAUGCAGAAUCAGCAGAUGGUUAUUAAAUGUCCAAGGGGACCCUUUAAUAACUCUCUCCAUAUCCAUAAUGUGAAAAAAAUUAAAAAUAUACCUCUUUUCCCCCAGAUCUCUAAUUUGAACCCCCUUUAUUGGAUGCCAUAAGUUAGCCAUAGUACUUUUUUAUUGCUGGGUAAUGGAUGAUACUGGCUGUAAGGAAACACCCAACUAGACUUAAAUCUUCUUCUUCACUUACCGAUUCUAUUUCUCCUUCCAUUUGCAGGAUUUCUUCCUCUUCGUCAUCAAGGGAUAGGGCUGCAAAGUCAGAUUCCAUGGUCGUUAUACGUGAAGAAUAGAAAGAGAAGAUUAUUCACAACACUGGAAAACUCAGCCGUCAAACCAAAAAACUAUUGAAAAAAAAGAAAACCUAGACUUCCCAGAAGGGCAGACAGAGACGAGCUAGGGUAGCAGACUUUUAUAAAAGACUUAAUAUAACAAUCGUAUUUAAGAGAUAAAAUUGCAACAUUUUAUCUGCUUAAAUCAAGAAUCUAUUUUAAAAAAUUAAUCUCUUAUUGGUUCAAUUUUUUUGUACAAAUAUUAUUAUUUUUUAAAGAGAAGUCUUUACGUCAAUGUUAUAGGCUAUUCAUAAACAUAAGAUAUUAUUUGUUAUUGCCUUUUGAAUUUAAAGUGUCAUAGAAACAAUUUUAGAUAUCUACAUGUAAAAGUACUAUCAACUCUUGGCAUUAGAAGGAAUAUUGCAUUUUGCCUCCUAUAUUAAAAAAUUGAUAAAUUAGCCCCUGUAUGUUACAAAAAUGUGUAAAUUAGUCAUUCCGUUAAAUUUUCAUCCAUAGUUGUUGCUAAGUGAU